Molecule: long non-coding RNA, 882 nt
Filed under: Linum usitatissimum (flax)
Lineage: Eukaryota; Viridiplantae; Streptophyta; Magnoliopsida; Malpighiales; Linaceae
Description: long non-coding RNA (LUSI_LNC008047)
Source: RNAcentral
GAUCGCCAAGUUCCGCGAUCGUGUGUCUUCCUUCGCCGACGUCAUCGAAGCGCGCUCCAGAAAGCUACGGCUAGAGGAGGAGAAGGUGGAAGAAUCAAGAAGGGAGCUGGAGAAGGCUCAUGAAGUUGGUAGACGGAAGUCGAAGGAGUUCGAGGCGAGGGAGGAGGUGUUCGAGAUUCUGAUGAAGAAAGUGGUUUUGGAGCGGAGGAAGAUGGCGGGGAUAGUUGAGGAUCUGAGGAAGGAGAUUCCAGUGGAGAAGGUGGAUAAGGAGUCUGUAGAAGUGAAACUGAAGGAGAUAGGGGAAAGAGGGGAUGAAUUGGAGCCGUUAGGGGGUUACCUUGAGAUGAAAGCGAUUCAAGUUCGGGAGGGUGAAGAAGAGUUGGAGAAGAAGCGGAAGGAAGUCGAUGAACUUGAAGAGUUGUAGAGAACUUGAAGCAAAUACGCGGCCAUGAUCUUACGAGUUGAUGGAGGAGAAACUACAAGACCGAUUCAAUAUGCUUAGCAAAAGGAUGGAUAAGUUGGAACUUAAACGGGUGAAAGAUUUAGAGUCGAUAGAGAAGAAGACUGAGAUGACGAGUAAAGAAACUUCAAUGGAAGAUGAGAGACCUGCCAAGCCAGUGGAUCAUUCAUCAGAAGCAAACUUAGCGAUCGUGGCAUAACUAUUGGAAAUGAUGUAAAGAUGUCAGAGAAGCAGGUUGAGAUGGCUAAUGGAGAAAUUGCAAUGGAAGCUAAGAAACCUGCUAAGUCAUUGAAUGAGCAUUCCAAUGAUUACGAUUCCAUGAAGGAUGAAGUGGAGAAUGCUCUUAAACUCUCAUCAGACCCUGCAAAGCUUGUGUUCGAUGCAAUGGAAGGGUUCUACCCUCCCCGUUUGUAGAAGAGCGC